Molecule: non-coding RNA, 24 nt
Filed under: Cricetulus griseus (Chinese hamster)
Lineage: Eukaryota; Metazoa; Chordata; Mammalia; Rodentia; Cricetidae
Also listed under: 1 other name
Source: RNAcentral
AGUGGUGACAAUGAGACCUGUAAC